Long non-coding RNA from Eucalyptus grandis, 707 nucleotides. RefSeq lists it as uncharacterized. The transcript is spliced from 5 exons. The record is from RefSeq and is a predicted model, not a curated record. NCBI's taxonomy places the organism in Eukaryota, Viridiplantae, Streptophyta, Magnoliopsida, Myrtales, Myrtaceae.
UUUCACUUAAGUGUCCAUGACUGAAGGUUUCUGUGAAAUCAAGACCUUCUUCUUGAUGAAAGCCUUUGGCAACCAGCCUAGCUUUGAGUCUAUCCAAGCUUCCAUCGGGUGCAAGUUUUGUCUUGAACACCCAUUUGCACCCGAUUACAUUCAUGUGAUUAGUGCGAGGAACUAAUUCCCAGGAUCAGGUGACAUUUGUAUGUGGAAUCGACCUUCAGAACUACUUGAAGUGAGCUCAUCAUUCUGUAUUUCUGGAGCUACUUGGUUAAGUCUGGAUAUAUCCAGCUGUACCGAGAAAAAUCAUCCACAAAAAUGACAUAGUAGGAGAAUUUCUGAACAGAUUGAAUUGGUGAAGGUCCCCAUACAUCACAAUGUAUUCUUUCUAAUGGAACUUUAGAAAUAUGGUCUGAGGAAUGAAACGAUAAAGCUGAACUUUUAGCAAUUUGACAACUGCCACAUAUAUUCUGACUUUUGGAACUAAGCCGAAUGAGAUUUUGUUUCUGCAGAAUCUUCAUUGUUUUAAGAUUGGUGUGAGCAAGCCUUUGAUGCCAGAUAUCUUCUGCUACUUCCUGUUGAGUUUGUAUGAAGAAAGCUUCUGCAGCUUUAGGUUUCACCUGAUAGAAGAUUCUUGGUGAUUGCAGGGACUAUCAAUACAUCAUUUAGAGGUAAUUUGCUAUUUCCUGUAUUUAGUAUUCCAUUACCAAUGC